UAAGGAAUAUUGGACAAUGGAGGCAACUCUGAUCCAGCCAUGCCGCGUGAAGGAAUAAGGCCCUAUGGGUUGUAAACUUCUUUUAGACGGGACAAAACCCCUUUACGUGUAAAGGGUUGAUGGUACUGUCAGAAUAAGCAUCGGCUAACUUCGUGCCAGCAGCCGCGGUAAUACGAAGGAUGCAAGCGUUAUCCGGAAUUAUUGGGUUUAAAGGGUGCGUAGGCGGACUAAUAAGUCAGUGGUGAAAGCCUGCAGCUUAACUGCAGAAUUGCCAUUGAUACUGUUAGUCUUGAGUACAGUUGAGGUAGGCGGAAUGUGUCGUGUAGCGGUGAAAUGCUUAGAUAUGACACAGAACACCGAUUGCGAAGGCAGCUUGCUAAGCUGUAACUGACGCUGAGGCACGAAAGCGUGGGGAGCAAACA
This 422-nucleotide ribosomal RNA is filed under the name uncultured bacterium. Its description in RNAcentral is "bacterial SSU rRNA". It matches the Rfam family "Bacterial small subunit ribosomal RNA", at positions 355 to 774 of the family's 1533-position model. The record is from RNAcentral.